UAAAAAUUAAUUUUUUAUUUAUAGAUAUUGCAUAUCAAUUAAAAAAAAUUUUAUAAUUUAUAAAAUAUAAAAUUAAAAGGUAGAAAUUUUUAUAUUUUUAUUGUUUCAUAAUAAAAAUUAUAAAAUUUAGGGUUGAAAAGUCGACUUUUAGGAUAUUUGUGUAAUAAUAAUUUAUUAGAAAUUUAUAAUUUUAAGGUAAUAAUAAUAUAAAAAGUAUAAGUUGAAGUAUUUUUAUAGUUAGUUUUAUAACUAUUUAUGUGUUCAUUUUAUUAACAGUUUAAGGAAGGGUUAAAUUUAUUAAAAUGUGUAAUAAUUUUAUUAUUUUAAUAUAAGUAAUUUUAGAAAUUAUUUGUGAUUAUUUAAUUUAAUAAAAUAACUAAAUAAUUAAUCAAAUGUUUUUUAAAGACUUAGACUUUUAAGUAAAGUUUGCUUCUGCCCAAUGAAUAUUUUUAAAUGGCAGUCUUAGCGUGAGGACAUUAAGGUAGCAAAAUAAUUUGUGCUUUUAUUGAGUUCCAGUAUGAAUGAAGUUAUUGGUUAAUUAUCUUUUUAUUUUGUUUAUGAAUUUAAUUUAAUAUAAAAAAAUAUUGUUGUAAUAAUACAAAGAUAAGUCUUCGGAAAUUCUUUUUUAAAAUUGACAGAUUUUGUUAAUUUUAAAAAUUUUCUAGGGCAGAAUUUUAUAUAAUUGGUUAUUCUAUUAAUAAUUAUAAGAAUUACUCCGGAGUUAACAGAAAAUCAUACCUAAUCUAGUUCUUAUAGUAAGGUAAGUUUUACAUCGAUGUUGUAUUUAAGUUUAUUAAAAAGGGAGAAGAUUUAAUUUUUGAGACUGUUCUUCUUUUAAUUAAUUUAACGUGAUAUUAGUUUAAUUCAUUGUGAGAUAGAAUUGUUUAUCUUGAUUAUUAUUAAUUUGUAGUUUUAAUAGUACGAAAGGAAAAUUAAAAAAAGUUUUAAACUUUUAAAAGAAAAAUUUUUCUUAA
This 974-nucleotide ribosomal RNA is filed under the name Cylicostephanus minutus. RNAcentral describes it as "large subunit ribosomal RNA". The record is from RNAcentral. Lineage: Eukaryota; Metazoa; Nematoda; Chromadorea; Rhabditida; Strongylidae.